GACGAACGCUGGCGGCGUGCCUAAUACAUGCAAGUUGAGCGCUGAAGGUUGGUACUUGUACCAACUGGAUGAGCAGCGAACGGGUGAGUAACGCGUGGGGAAUCUGCCUUUGAGCGGGGGACAACAUUUGGAAACGAAUGCUAAUACCGCAUAAAAACUUUAAACACAAGUUUUAAGUUUGAAAGAUGCAAUUGCAUCACUCAAAGAUGAUCCCGCGUUGUAUUAGCUAGUUGGUGAGGUAAAGGCUCACCAAGGCGAUGAUACAUAGCCGACCUGAGAGGGUGAUCGGCCAAAUUGGGACUGAGACACGGCCCAAACUCCUACGGGAGGCAGCAGUAGGGAAUCUUCGGCAAUGGACGAAAGUCUGACCGAGCAACGCCGCGUGAGUGAAGAAGGUUUUCGGAUCGUAAAACUCUGUUAGUAGAGAAGAACGUUGGUGAGAGUGGAAAGCUCAUCAAGUGACGGUAACUACCCAGAAAGGGACGGCUAAGUACGUG
Molecule: ribosomal RNA, 497 nt
Filed under: uncultured bacterium
Lineage: Bacteria
Description: partial 16S ribosomal RNA
Rfam family: Bacterial small subunit ribosomal RNA
Source: RNAcentral